Molecule: ribosomal RNA, 460 nt
Filed under: uncultured bacterium
Lineage: Bacteria
Description: partial 16S ribosomal RNA
Rfam family: Bacterial small subunit ribosomal RNA
Source: RNAcentral
CCUACGGGUGGCAGCAGUGAGGAAUAUUGGUCAAUGGACGAGAGUCUGAACCAGCCAAGUAGCGUGAAGGAUGACUGCCCUGUGGGUUGUAAACUUCUUUUAUAUGGGAAUAAAAUGUUCCACGUGUGGGAGUUUGUAUGUACCAGAUGAAUAAGGAUCGGCUAACUCCGUGCCAGCAGCCGCGGUAAUACGGAGGAUCCGAGCGUUAUCCGGAUUUAUUGGGUUUAAAGGGUGCGUAGGUGGAUUGUUAAGUCAGUGGUGAAAGUUUGAGGCUCAACCGUAAAAUUGCGGUUGAAACUGGCAGUCUUGAGUACAGUAGAGGUAGGCGGAAUGCGUGGUGUAGCGGUGAAAUGCUUAGAUAUCACGAAGAACUCCGAUUGCGAAGGCAGCUCACUGGACUGCAACUGACACUGAGGCUCGAAAGUGUGGGUAUCAAACAGGAUUAGAUACCCCUGUAGUC